CGCGCAGGCGGCCAGGUCAGUCGAAUGUGAAAGCCCCCGGCUCAACUGGGGAACGUCGUUCGAUACUGCCUGGCUCGAAGGUAGGAGAGGGAAGUGGAAUUUCAGGUGUAGUGGUGAAAUGCGUAGAUAUCUGAAGGAACACCAGUGGCGAAGGCGACUUUCUGGCCUAUUCUUGACGCUGAGGCGCGAAAGCUAGGGGAGCGAACG
RNAcentral lists this ribosomal RNA (207 nucleotides) under uncultured bacterium. Its description in RNAcentral is "partial 16S ribosomal RNA". It matches the Rfam family "Bacterial small subunit ribosomal RNA", at positions 568 to 774 of the family's 1533-position model. The record is from RNAcentral.